RNA transcript from Oryza sativa Japonica Group (Japanese rice), 3806 nucleotides. It is a transcript of the gene named phospholipid-transporting ATPase 2, with no coding region annotated. The record is from RefSeq and is a predicted model, not a curated record. NCBI's taxonomy places the organism in Eukaryota, Viridiplantae, Streptophyta, Magnoliopsida, Poales, Poaceae.
GCGCGCGGGAGAGAGAGAGAGAGAGGGGGGCGAACUCCCGGAUCCUCCCCUNGCCGCCUACUCACUUCCCUCCGGAAUACGCUUCCCGUCCAGCCGCGGGGACACCACGCAAUGGAAGAGGGAUGCGAUGUAUGAUCUUUGACUGUCUCUUGCCAUUGAAGUGAUCAAAUGGCACGGAAUUGAUAUCGUUGUCAAAAUGAAAAGAUUCGUCUAUAUCAAUGAUGAUUCAUGGCAGGAUUCCUAUUGUGACAAUCGAAUAUCAAAUACCAAAUAUAAUCUCUGGAAUUUUCUCCCUAAGAACUUAUGGGAGCAAUUCAGGCGUUUCAUGAAUCAGUAUUUUCUUCUAAUCGCCUGCCUUCAGUUAUGGUCAAGUAUCACACCUGUUAGUCCUGCAACUACAUGGGGUCCACUUGCCAUCAUCUUCAUAGUUUCAGCUUCAAAAGAGGCUUGGGAUGAUUACAAUAGGUACCUUUCAGACAAGAAAGCAAACGGAAGGGAAGUUUUGGUGGUAAAGGAUGGCAACCAUAGACAGAUCAAAGCACAAGAUAUCCAUGUUGGAAAUAUAGUGUGGCUUUAUCAGAAUGAUGAGAUACCAUGUGAUCUUGUUCUUAUAGGAACUUCUGAUCCUCAGGGCAUCUGUUAUGUUGAGACAGCUGCUUUAGAUGGUGAAACUGACUUGAAAACAAGAAUUGUUCCUUCUAUCUGUGCUAACCUUUCUCCAGAUCAAUUAGGCAGAGUCAAGGGUGUAGUUGAGUGCUCCAACCCAGAUAAUGACAUAAGAAGAUUUGACGCUAACAUGCGCUUGUUUCCUCCUAUCAUUGAUAGUGAAAAAUGUCCUUUAACUAUCAAUAAUACUCUUCUUCAAUCAUGUUACUUAAGGUACACAGAAUGGGCGUGUGGAGUUGCAGUUUACACAGGCAAUCAAACAAAAUCUGGAAUGAGCAGGGGAACCGCAGAGCCCAAGCUCACUGCUGCUGAUGCAAUGAUAGACAAACUCACUGUUGCAAUAUUUAUGUUCCAAAUUGUUGUUGUUCUUGUUCUGGGUUUUGCUGGCAAUAUCUGGAAGAAGAACCAGGGUCUUAAGCAAUGGUAUCUGCUGUAUCCUGUGGAAGGACCAUGGUAUGAUUUCUUGAUUAUACCAUUGCGCUUUGAGCUAUUGUGUUCAAUAAUGAUUCCUAUUUCAGUGAAGGUAACUCUUGAUCUGUCUAAAGGUGUAUAUGCAAAGUUCAUUGACUGGGAUGAACAAAUGUUUGAUCGGGAAACAUGUACGCCUGCUCAUUCAGCUAACACAGCUAUUAGUGAAGACCUUGGACAGGUUGAGUACGUUUUGAGUGACAAAACUGGAACGCUGACAGAAAACAGAAUGAUUUUCAGAAGAUGUUGCAUAAGUGAUAUUCUGUAUGGAGAAAACAAUGAAGAUGCUUUAAAAGAUGCCAGACUUCUAGAUGCUGUUUCGCGUAACGAUCCUGAUAUUGUCAAAUUUCUCAUGGUGAUGGCUCUUUGCAAUACAGUUGUUCCUAUCAAAAGCAAUGAUGGUACUAUAACAUACCAAGCACAAUCACAAGACGAGGAAGCUUUGGUCACUGCUGCAUCAAAACUAAAUAUGGUGCUUGUGAGUAAAGACAGCAACACUGCUGAGAUUUCUUUCAACGGUUCUAAGUUCUAUUAUGAUUUGUUGGAUAUUUUGGAGUUUACUUCCGAUCGCAAAAGAAUGUCUGCUGUGGUAAAGGAUGUCCAGAGUGGGAAGAUCCUUCUUCUUUCUAAAGGAGCUGAUGAAGCUAUUCUUCCUCGUUGCCAUCAAGGACAGCAAAUUAGAACCUAUCUUGAGACAGUAGAAAUGUAUUCUCAGUUGGGCUUGCGAACAUUAUGUUUGGGAUGGCGUGAAUUAGAAGAAGAUGAAUACAAAGAUUGGUCCAAAACAUUUCAAGAUGCUAGCUGCUCCUUGGAGAACAGGGAGCGUAAAAUUGCCGAAGUAUGUCACCGUUUAGAGCAAGAUCUUCAAAUUCUUGGUGUUAGUGCCAUAGAAGACCGUCUCCAGGAUGGUGUGCCGGAAACCAUUAAAUUGCUAAAGAGUGCCGGAAUCAAUGUGUGGAUGCUAACUGGUGAUAAGCAACACACAGCAAUUCAGAUUGGACUUCUUUGUAAUCUCAUAGCACCUGAGCCGAAUGGUCAAUUGUUGUCUAUCAAUGGAAAAACUGAACACGAUGUAUUAAGAAGCUUAGAGAGGGCAUUGUCAACAAUGAAGUCUAUGUCGGUAACAAAGGAUUGUGCAUUUGUUUUGGAUGGAUGGGCACUUGAAAUAAUUCUAAAGCAUUCCAAGGAGUCCUUCACUAAGCUGGCCAUGUUGUCAAGAACAGCGAUAUGCUGUCGAAUGACACCCUUGCAGAAAGCACAGCUUGUUGGGCUCCUGAAAUCUGUCGGUUACCUAACUCUAGCAAUUGGUGAUGGUGGUAAUGAUGUAAGAAUGAUUCAAGAGGCAAACAUUGGAGUUGGGAUUAGUGGUAGGGAAGGGCUACAAGCUGCAAGGGCUGCUGAUUAUAGCAUUGGAAAAUUCAAGUUUCUCAAAAGGUUGAUACUUGUCCAUGGUCGAUAUUCAUACAAUCGUACGGCAUUUAUUUCACAGUACUCCUUCUACAAGUCACUCUUGAUAUGCUUUAUACAGAUUCUUUUCUCCUUUAUAUCAGGACUCUCUGGAACUAGCUUGUUCAACUCAAUUAGUCUGAUGGCCUAUAAUGUUUUCUAUACAAGUCUUCCUGUGACGACUAUAAUUUUUGACAAGGAUAUCUCUGAGGAAACAGUACUGCAAUAUCCCCAGAUUUUACUCUAUUCUCAGUCUGGAAGGCUUUUGAAUCCAACUACAUUUGCUGGAUGGUUUGGACGAUCGGUUUACCAUAUUAAGCAUUUUAACUGGUGCCAACGUGGUGAUGGAAUCUGCCAUGUAUGAUGUUCCUAAUUAAUCAAUACCGGCAAAAUGGCAAAAUCAAACCGAACCAAGCACUUGUUGUAUUCUUAACUACAAUCUGUGCAUAUUCUGAUGAAAAAAGUGAGAUUGAGGAACUCUCCAUGGUUGCGCUAUCUGGAUGCAUUUGGUUGCAGGCUUUUGUUGUGACACUGGACACAAACUCAUUCACUUAUCCGCAAAUCAUUCUCAUAUGGGGAAACUUUAUCGCCUUCUACAUGAUCAACUUAAUAGUCAGUGCGGUACCAACACUCCAAAUGUAUACUAUAAUGUUCCGCCUGUGUAGCCAACCUUCGUACUGGAUAACCAUGGGUCUGAUUGUUGCGGUAGGAAUGGGCCCGGUGCUGGCUUUGAGAUACUUCAGGAACAUGUUUCGACCUAAUGCCAUCAACAUACUUCAGCAAAUCGAGCAAUCCAAUGGACAUACCCAUACCACCAGAAAUAUGGAGUCACGGAUCAUAUCUGCUGGCAGUUAUCUCACCCAUUUACUAGCCGAUUCGCGUCGCAACAGGGGCGCUACCUAUCAGCCUCUUCUUUCAGAUUCUGUAGCAUCUGACGGAUGAUCUGCUGCACCUAUCAGCAUCAGACCUUGGCAGCUUGCGUUAACUGUAUCUCUUACCAGUGCAAUAUGCUAGCAUGCACACCCAUAGUCUCUAACAGCAAUAGGAUUUACUGAUCACACAAAAUUCUGAGAGUCAAAGCACAGAAGAAAGUUUCGCAGGUUCAUUGCAAAAAUGCUGCAAUGCCUGGAAUUCAGGAAAAAAAAUACAUGUGUUCCAAAUUAUCCCAGAUGUAUAGUUUUGCUGUUAAAACAGAAGUAUAUAUGGCUGUUUUGGUUUGAUGGCAA